Molecule: ribosomal RNA, 414 nt
Filed under: uncultured bacterium
Lineage: Bacteria
Description: bacterial SSU rRNA
Rfam family: Bacterial small subunit ribosomal RNA
Source: RNAcentral
UGAGGAAUAUUGCGCAAUGGGGGCAACCCUGACGCAGCAACGCCGCGUGAGUGAGGAAGGUUUUCGGACCGUAAAGCUCUGUCGAGCGGGAAGAAAUGCAUGGUGGCUAAUAUCCAUCAUGCUUGACGGUACCGCUAAAGGAAGCACCGGCUAACUCCGUGCCAGCAGCCGCGGUAAUACGGGGGGUGCGAGCGUUGUUCGGCAUUAUUGGGCGUAAAGAGCGUGUAGGCGGCUGAAUAAGUCAGAUGUGAAAUCCCUGGGCUUAACCCAGGACGUGCAUUUGAAACUAUUCGGCUAGAGUAGGGGAGAGGAAAGUGGAAUUCCUGGUGUAGAGGUGAAAUUCGUAGAUAUCAGGAGGAACACCGGUGGCGAAGGCGACUUUCUGGCCCUAUACUGACGCUGAGACGCGAGAGC